UACGUAGGGUGCAAGCGUUGUCCGGAAUUAUUGGGCGUAAAGAGCUCGUAGGCGGUCUGUCACGUCGGAUGUGAAAAUCCAGGGCUCAACCCUGGACCUGCAUUCGAUACGGGCAGACUAGAAUUCGGUAGGGGAGACUGGAAUUCCUGGUGUAGCGGUGGAAUGCGCAGAUAUCAGGAGGAACACCAAUAGCGAAGGCAGCUCGCUGGGACGUUACUGACACUGAGGCGCGAAAGCGUGGGGAGCGAACAGG
Molecule: ribosomal RNA, 253 nt
Filed under: uncultured bacterium
Lineage: Bacteria
Description: partial 16S ribosomal RNA
Rfam family: Bacterial small subunit ribosomal RNA
Source: RNAcentral